RNAcentral lists this ribosomal RNA (679 nucleotides) under uncultured Alphaproteobacteria bacterium. Its description in RNAcentral is "bacterial SSU rRNA". It matches the Rfam family "Bacterial small subunit ribosomal RNA", at positions 29 to 754 of the family's 1533-position model. Lineage: Bacteria; Pseudomonadati; Pseudomonadota; Alphaproteobacteria. The record is from RNAcentral.
ACGAACGCUGGCGGCAUGCCUAACACAUGCAAGUCGAACGAGACCUUCGGGUCUAGUGGCGCACGGGUGCGUAACGCGUGGGAAUCUGCCCUUGGGUUCGGAAUAACAGCUAGAAAUGGCUGCUAAUACCGGAUGAUGACGUAAGUCCAAAGAUUUAUCGCCCAAGGAUGAGCCCGCGUAAGAUUAGCUAGUUGGUGGGGUAAAGGCCUACCAAGGCUACGAUCUUUAGCUGGUCUGAGAGGAUGAUCAGCCACACUGGGACUGAGACACGGCCCAGACUCCUACGGGAGGCAGCAGUGGGGAAUAUUGGACAAUGGGCGAAAGCCUGAUCCAGCAAUGCCGCGUGAGUGAUGAAGGCCUUAGGGUUGUAAAGCUCUUUUACCCGGGAUGAUAAUGACAGUACCGGGAGAAUAAGCUCCGGCUAACUCCGUGCCAGCAGCCGCGGUAAUACGGAGGGAGCUAGCGUUGUUCGGAAUUACUGGGCGUAAAGCGCACGUAGGCGGCGAUUUAAGUCAGAGGUGAAAGCCCGGGGCUCAACCCCGGAAUAGCCUUUGAGACUGGAUUGCUUGAAUCUUGGAGAGGUGAGUGGAAUUCCGAGUGUAGAGGUGAAAUUCGUAGAUAUUCGGAAGAACACCAGUGGCGAAGGCGGCUCACUGGACAAGUAUUGACGCUGAGGUGC